GUGCCAGCAGCCGCGGUAAUACGUAGGCAGCGAGCGUUGUUCGGAGUUACUGGGCGUAAAGCGUGCGUAGGCGGUGGUCCAAGUCUGGUGUGAAAUCUCCCGGCUCAACUGGGAGGGUGCGCCGGAAACUGGGCCGCUGGAGUGCGGGAGAGGCAAGCGGAAUUCCAGGUGUAGCGGUGAAAUGCGUAGAUAUCUGGAGGAACACCCGUGGUGCAGACGGCUUGCUGGACCGUGACUGACGCUGAGGCACGAAAGCGUGGGUAGCAAACAGGAUUAGAAACCCCUGUAGUCC
RNAcentral lists this ribosomal RNA (292 nucleotides) under uncultured bacterium. Its description in RNAcentral is "partial 16S ribosomal RNA". It matches the Rfam family "Bacterial small subunit ribosomal RNA", at positions 505 to 796 of the family's 1533-position model. The record is from RNAcentral.